UCCCAAAGUGUUGAGUUCAGUUCAGGGCUGCUCCCCUGAUCUGGUAAUUGAACUUUGGGAUAUCGAAAUGGGCCUAGGGUAAAUAAGUGGAUAGAAAGCAUUCCUCUCUAUUCAUCUCUACCCCAGCCUACAGCA
Echinops telfairi (small Madagascar hedgehog) is the source of this 135-nucleotide small nucleolar RNA. The record is from Ensembl. Lineage: Eukaryota; Metazoa; Chordata; Mammalia; Afrosoricida; Tenrecidae.